GUCAAUCAAAGUUUCUAGGGAAACUUAUAUUAGUACUUCUGUCUAAUUUUGCAUUAUUUUAUUUUAUUUGUUAGCAUCUUGAUAUGCUUGAUCACUGAACCUUCGUUAGCCUCAGCGUUUUGAAGCAUUAAUUUGCUUGGUUUGUUUUUCUUUUUUCUCCGGUUUCUUACUUCUGAUUUCUCUUGUUUGCUCAUGACAGUUUAUUCAUCUGCUUUUAACUAGACUUUGGUAGUGGAUAUUUGCAUGUGAUUAAAUAGUCAUGAAAUUAGGUCUCUAAUUUUGUUUGAAGCUUAUUGUUUAGUUUGUUUUUCUAUUUACAUGAUUAGUUGCCAGUCUGAUUUUGACUAGGAUUUAUUUAGGUACUUUAGUUCAGCUUUUUUAAGGGAUUUAAUUCUUGUUUCGGG
Molecule: long non-coding RNA, 404 nt
Filed under: Nicotiana benthamiana
Lineage: Eukaryota; Viridiplantae; Streptophyta; Magnoliopsida; Solanales; Solanaceae
Description: long non-coding RNA (NBEN_LNC011385)
Source: RNAcentral